This 118-nucleotide ribosomal RNA is filed under the name Hordeum vulgare subsp. vulgare (domesticated barley). RNAcentral also lists the same sequence under 1 other name. Lineage: Eukaryota; Viridiplantae; Streptophyta; Magnoliopsida; Poales; Poaceae. The record is from RNAcentral.
GGAUGCGAUCAUACCAGCACUAAAGCACCGGAUCCCAUCAGAACUCCGAAGUUAAGCAUGCUUGGCGAGAGUAGUACUAGGAUGGGUGACCUCCUGGGAAGUCCUCGUGUUGCAUUCC